This is a long non-coding RNA of Numida meleagris (helmeted guineafowl), 3988 nucleotides long. RefSeq lists it as uncharacterized. NCBI's taxonomy places the organism in Eukaryota, Metazoa, Chordata, Aves, Galliformes, Numididae. The record is from RefSeq and is a predicted model, not a curated record. The transcript is spliced from 3 exons.
UCUCACUGCUGUGCUCUGGGUACCUCCAUCGGGGAAGCACAUUUAGGCCAGGAUGCUCCUAAUCACCUUUGUCUUCAUGCUUUGCUGUGCCCUUCCCAUUCCUUUCCGGUUGUAAAUGUCACUCCCAGAAAAGGGAAAUAACCCCUUGGAUGGCUCUGCCCAGCCCUGAAGAGCUGCAGGAAAAGGAAUGCCACGCAAUGAUCAUAGGAACUGCAGGGUCCAUAGAUUUCGACUGCUGGAAGAACUUGCCCUAGGUAAGGAUCCAGUCUCCUAGCUGAUUAGAAGUAGCCUAGCUUAAAACAACAUCAAUUCCAGCCAGAGGCCUUGAAGCCCCAGCUCACCAGCCAGCAGGAGCAGCACGGUGCUUCUGAUGCCAGAGGGGAUGUGGUUAUCACAGUGAGCACUGCUCAACAUUCGCAUCAUCAAUCACCAUUGCUCACUGUUUUCACCAUAUGUACCACGUUCUUAUUUGUUCUUUAAAGGAAUCUGAAGCAGCGUGGUUGAGCUGUCUUAAAAAUGUAUUGAGGUUGAAACAAAAAGAAGAAACCUGAUGCCUUGUGGAUUCACAGGACUAUAAGAAAUCAACGUGUGAUGUCCCAUUUUCCAAAACAGAGCCCCUAUCGAUGGCCUGAAGUUUGAAACCAGCCACUGAUAUAACAUGCAGCACAGAUGUGACAAACAGGAGAAAACCAGCUAUCUAUCACAGCAGUUCCUGAAGCCCUGCAAUAAAACAAAAUGCCAGAUGGAAUUAGAAACCACCGCCGGCGCUCAGAGCCCACUGUGAAGCUGCUCCUUGGAUGCCAACCCUGGGGCUCGUGCUGACCUCCAGCCACGGGCCACCCCGCGCUGUGGGUCUGGUGGCAGCUCCAUCCGAAGGGCAGCAUUCACCUCCUCGGGGCAGGAGCUCUGCGAAAGCCCAGCAAUGGGAUAACCACGCUUUGAAGAACCGUGGGCUGAAGGCCAGCCCAGCCACCUGCUGUGGGUGGGACACUCCUCCCUGCUGCUCUCUCAUCUGCAUCCCACGACGUGCGCCGGGAUGAGCACCUGGCCCGGCAGCCUGCGCUUUGCAGAGAGCUGCUCACCUCUGCGUGCAAACCCUCAUCUGUUGCUGGGAGGAAGCCUGUGUUUGAGGAGGGGCUGCUGCAGCUUCUCAGAAGUCUGAGCACUGGGAGCUGUUUUCCUCUUCUUCCUUUUCCGUUAUUCAUCUGAAAGUGUUCACUUUGCUAAAAUGUGAAUCCAUCAGGACCAUAUGCUCCCAGCUAUGUUGCAGGCACCCAGGACUAAUUCAGAUCUUGUGCCUGUCUUCGGGCCAUCUGCUAACAGGAUCACACGAGACCAUGUGUCAUCACGGGCUGAAAUUUGCAUAGAUGCUUUGAGGAGCUGUGCCCAGCCCCAACCACAUGAGCCACGAUGAAUGCCCUCGAGUUGCCAUGAACCACCCCGUGCUGUAGGGAGGUAGCACGAGGACCCAGUGAUGCCCAUGGCCAAUGCCAUCCCCACCCGUCCUCUGUCCUGCCCUCAUCUGCUCCAAUCCAUGGCUGGAUGUGCAGGACAAGGCGAGCCCACAGGCUCUGCGGGAGGUUAACACAUGAAUCGUCCCAGCUGUGACAGCAGAGCCUUAACUAAGCCCAUCAAUAACGGAUGGCACUGCAGCGGUGGAGCGGGCGGCAGCCCUGGGGCCUCUCUAUCAGCAGGCAAGGAGGAGAUGGCAGCAGCAGAUAAUGGAUGGUGAGAUGGCACUUGGGGCUGGGGAGCCCAGCAGCAGCACUCCUCCUGCAGCACGUUUCCAGUGCUUGCACCCAGCACUGCACCAGCCCCAUCCCCAGGCCACCUCCAACAGCAUCCCAAAGCCGGGCAGUGUUUGGGGCCAGAUCCUUCCCCAGCCCUUCCCAGCAGCGCGAGCAGCAGCCGCCUCCUGCAGCCACAAUAGUCCCUGAUGAUAAUUACAGGCUGUGCAGCAGCUCUGUUGCUCCAUGGGAGUGGGGUUUUUUUGGUAGCAAUAGGUGCUGUUUAAGUACUUGAAAGAAUGGCACUUAGCAGAUGUCUUGGGGUAAAUGGUAGGUUAAGCGAUACCAAGAACACCAGCGAAAUGAGCGCUAAUUUACGCUCACAUGAUUCAAUUUGCAUGGUUAAUUCUAUUUAAGGCAAACAUCCAGCACGCGCCAGAGUUCCGAAAGCGCCACGACUCUCGUUUCAUCCCCUCUGCAACACUUUGGAGAGCAAAACCAGGGGGAUGACGGAGCGAACAAACGUCUCCGUGCCGUGGGAGCCAAGUUUUGCAAACGCACUUCCUCCGGAUGGCGCCGGGUCUACCUGAUAGCAUCGCUGUGUGCACAAAAACCGCCCGCUGCUGAGAUUAAAGGGAUGUCCUUCAGCUGUGGCAAUCACACCGUGGCUCUGUGCACGCUGGGGCUGUGCGGGGGAAGCUGGCAGACAGCUCUGACCGAGCAGAACACAUUUUGCUUUGGAACGUGCAGACGCUAGAAAAUGGAAGAUGGAGAUAUAUAUUUUUUAUUAUUUUGCUUUCGAGCCAUCAGCGUGGCUUAUUGGUUGAUUAAUAACCGUUUGUUAGCGUUCUUUAAGUUCUGUAGGAAACAGAAGGCCUGUAAAUGGCCUGGAUGAGCAAAAAGCACAAAAUACCUCAGACAUAAUACGCCAAAUGUAAAUAAUAUUUAUGGCUCAUUAAAGCAUUGAUGCUCUGCGUGCAUUGGAGUACACGCAGCGGGGAGCCAGAGGAGCGAGAGGUUGGCUCAUUAUUUCUUUUCAACCUGAGAAAUGCGGAAAUAAAAUGCUGAAAAACAUCUCCAAGCCAUGUCCUAAAGAAGAGCAUUCAUACUGGGAUCCACUGGGGCUUCCCCUUCCUUUUGCAGGGAAUGGAUAAAGCGCUGUGUCACCCGUGGGCUGAGCCCCGCCGUGACCCGGGAACUGCAGGUGCUCAGCAGCAAUGAUCAGAGGAAAUAUUUCACAAACAACGAACGGGGCUGAGAUUGCUCCAACAGAGAACAAAUUUGUAAGACUGCAAGCUGGUGUCUGGACUAUUUGUGAGCAGUAAAAGGAACUAAAUUUGACAAAUGAAGUGCCUGCUGCAAAGCAGCUCACACGGCUUGAGUAACUACCCAGUAAUGCCAAGACUCGUGCAAAUUGCUAGGUAACUACGGUGAAGAGAGCCAAAAAUAAUCCUUCCUGUGACUUGCUCUGACAGCGUUUGGAAGAGUGAAAUAACAGGGUUUCAGCACGGAGCAGUGCGGCGCCGGCUCUCUGGAGCGAUGCACAACUGGUGACGUGGCAUGGGGAUGGGCUCCAACGCUUCCCAGGUGGAGCAACCCCAACAACCCACGGGAAGUGCAUCAGAACACAGGGUGAAAAUGCUCAGCUGUCUUCCAGGUGCUUCUCCAGAAAUGCUGCAUCGUUAACAUGGAAGUUUAAGAAAUACCCUGAUCCAGUCGGAAAGGCCCCACAAAUUGCCAAGUUGGAGUUUUCUGGGAUGAAAAAUGAAGCUAUUUUGUACCCUGUCAGCAGAAUGUAAAUGAAUGAGUGGAACGAAUUAGUGCACGAUAAACUUUUAAAAAGCCAAGUUCCCAUUUAAAACAGUAGUGAGAGCUCUGGAAUGAUUUAAGUCUUAAAAAAAAAAAAAAAAAAAAGUAGCACCACUCUAACGCCAUUCAAUUAUGGCCUGCACAGCAAACCAUAAAUAUCCUUUACCGCCCUCUGGGAUAUGACAUCUUUGCUCCGCCGCACUCAGAGCCGUGUGCCCAAUGGCAGCUCCUCCUGUCACCGUCCCACAGAGCUCCCAUCCCCAUCCCCAGGGGUGUGCCCAUACUGCACCCCAGUGCCCGAGAGCACCUCGUGCCCACACGUCUUUAAUGCCACUGAGAUCCUCUCUCUGCAUAACCGCUCUUGCUAGAACCAAGCAGCCCUUCUUCACGCCCCUUUCUCCUCCGCAAACGGCUGAUUUAUUCUGUUUAUAAACUCCAGAGAUUGUUUAAUC